UUGGAGGGCAAGUCUGGUGCCAGCAGCCGCGGUAAUUCCAGCUCCAAUAGCGUAUAUUAAAGUUGUUGCAGUUAAAAAGCUCGUAGUUGAAUUUCGGAAUCAAUUUGUUGGUCGUGCCUCGGUACGUACUGGUAUUAUUGGUUUCUACCUUCUGAAGAACCUUGAUGUCAUUAAUUUGGUGUUACGGGGAAUUAGGACUGUUACCUUGAAAAAAUUAGAGUGUUUAAAGCAGGCUCACGCUUGAAUACAUUAGCAUGGAAUAAUGAAAUAGGACAUCCGAUUCUAUUUUGUUGGUUUCUAGGAUCGAUGUAAUGAUUAAUAGGGAUAGUUGGGGGCAUUAGUAUUCAAUUGUCAGAGGUGAAAUUCUUGGAUUUAUUGAAGACUAACUACUGCGAAAGCAUUUGCCAAGGAUGUUUUCAUUAAUCAAGAACGAAAGUUAGGGGAUCGAAGACGAUCAGAUACCGUCGUAGUCUUAACCAUAAACUAUGCCGACUAGGGAUCGGAUGAUGUUAAUUUUUUAAUGACUCAUUCGGCGCCUUACGGGAAAC
Molecule: ribosomal RNA, 548 nt
Filed under: uncultured Glomeromycotina
Lineage: Eukaryota; Fungi; Glomeromycota
Description: SSU rRNA
Rfam family: Eukaryotic small subunit ribosomal RNA
Source: RNAcentral